Molecule: ribosomal RNA, 423 nt
Filed under: Triticum aestivum (bread wheat)
Lineage: Eukaryota; Viridiplantae; Streptophyta; Magnoliopsida; Poales; Poaceae
Description: partial small subunit ribosomal RNA
Source: RNAcentral
AUGGCUGGCGCCCCAAGCUCAUCCUUGCACCCCCAUGGCCUCCUUCCAGGCGAUUGGGCCAGCUGCUCAGUUUCACAUCUUCAACUAAGCAUGCUUCAGACGGAAGGAUACCUUCCUGCCCCAGGUUUGACAUUCGUUCGCGCCGGACUAAUCUCCAUGAAUGGUGAAUCUUUCGCAGAGAACUUCCCUACCCCAAGCAAGAAGGAGAGGGUAUGUUUUGUGCCUUUUCUCUUACGAGGUCUAGGUUUCCCCAUAAAUCCCUUCCUCAGGGGCCUAUUAGAGUUUUACGGGAUCCAACUCCACCAUCUCACCCCUUGGAUCCGCACUGCACAUCUCGGGCUACGUCGCCCAUUCCGAGAUGUUCUUGGGCUGCAAGGUCCAUUUCGAGUUAUGGAUGAAGUUUUUUUGCCUUGUUCCUCAUAG